GGGGGUGAACAGGGUUCGACGGGAGUGAUAGAGGUAAUGGCAGCAGGCCGGAGUUGGUCGAUGGCUCCGCAAAAAUCGACCGAAAAAUAAACAACAAAACUGUUGUUCCAAUGCACAACGUUAAGCCUUUCACGGCAUUUAGCGUUAUGCCUUUAGCUGCUUAACGCGGCUUCGUUUUACCUCUAGACGCCUGCUAUAUGGAUAAAACGUCAAGAGCAGGCUAGUUUUAAGCUGCUUGCGCCGUCAGUUUAAAAUUAAAUUAAAACGGCGCUGGUUUAUAAUGUAGUACCGUCCGAUUACGGGAUAAAUUUUCGGACUAAGCCUGUAGCGGCCUUACUAAAACAUUUUCGGACGCGGGUUCAAUUCCCGCCACCUCCACAC
RNAcentral lists this transfer-messenger RNA (381 nucleotides) under Endomicrobium sp. It matches the Rfam family "transfer-messenger RNA". From Rfam's summary of the family: Bacterial tmRNA, also known as 10Sa RNA or SsrA, is named for its dual tRNA and mRNA-like properties. Its role is to liberate the mRNA from a stalled ribosome. The record is from RNAcentral. Lineage: Bacteria; Pseudomonadati; Elusimicrobiota; Endomicrobiia; Endomicrobiales; Endomicrobiaceae.